CAGAGAAAAGUUAGGGAUUGAAGGGGUGACAGUGUUACAGAGGGAGCAUCCUGGCUGGAAGAUUGGUUAAUUCCAGGGCCAUUGUGCAGAUAAGUGAAGUGACAGCCGGGUUUUAUAUUGUUGGAGAAGGAAUUUCCAAAUAGGCAAAGAAAAUGCUAUAAAAAAUGCUGAGACACUGGAUUUAAAAAAUGAGUGUGAAAUCGUCUUUUUAUAAUGAUAUGUAUGUGUGUGUGUCUGUGUAUGUAUAUAUAUAUACAUAUACACUAUAUUGACCAUAGCUCUCUAUUCCAGGGCAUGGGGUCAUGAAGUGGCCAGAAGAUUGUGAUUUCUAAAUCCCAUCCUCCAGGAGCCAGGGAUGAUUCCAGGACUGGGGCUGAAAAAGUACAGAGUUUCAAACCUCCAGUAGGAAAGUGCUGAAAACACGAUUUGCUGGUGAAGAUGGUUGCAGGAAGGAUGGCUAUUGAAACACUUCAUUUAUGUCUGAAUCUCAAGCUUUGGAAUAAAGCAACGUUCUCAACCCUGGCUGCAUGUUAGAUGCCCUGGCAAGAGGCUUUGAGUGUGGAAAGAAUAUAAUGGCAGAAAUGCAAAGAUUUGAGCACAAUUUUUUUCCAGCAAAACUGCAGCCCAUUGGGGAAAACAACAUUAAUCCCAGGAGC
Molecule: non-coding RNA, 656 nt
Organism: Oryctolagus cuniculus (rabbit)
Lineage: Eukaryota; Metazoa; Chordata; Mammalia; Lagomorpha; Leporidae
Source: RefSeq, a predicted model, not a curated record